UCUAUCAUUCUUCCCAUUUUUUAAAUUAAAAGCACUUAAUACAUCAUAAUGAUCCAAUAAAUAUAAUUUUACCGUUACUAAUUCCUCAAAAGGUUUUACUCAACAGGUGUGUAUUCCUAUCAUCCUCUUCAUUCAAUAAGGAUCUCCGAAAUCUCUAUCAAAGGAAAAAAAUAAACACAGCCCUUUUGCUAUCCACCAGAAAGUCCAACCGUCGUCACGACAAAAGUUAAAGGCACUCCUUUGGUGUUGGUCCCCAUCACUGAUUUCUCUUUCAUGACUCCUCUCUCUGUGCAUGCACCUUUGUGUAUCUUUAACUCCAUAGUCCAUAAUUGAAAUAUAACUAUAUUCUUUGUAGUAUAAUUGAGAGCACUUUAAUUAACUUUUUGUUAUUAAAAAGAAUUACUCUUUACAAUGGAUCUAAUGUUUGGUCUAAGCAAGGAGAAUCAAAGUAAAGUAGGAGGGCUAUGAUCAUUUUGCUGAAAGCGGGUUUUGACAUCGACAAAAUAAAAACAUAAACUCUAAAGCCAUUUUCAACUGUCGUCUUCCUCUCUGCCAUACAGUGACAUAGUUGCAGUUUAUUGGGUGAAUAUAUUGAUCUAACUCGAGAAAGAAAGAGAUCAAUUUUGGAUCUAUGAAAAGUGAAGCGAAGAAUGGAAAGAUUGAGCUAUUUGCGGUUAAGUUUUGGUGCUUUCACGAGACUUAUCGAGACGACUAUAAAGUAUACAAGGUUAUAAAAGUUAUAUUUUCAUUUCUUCAUUCUCAUUUUGUUUGGAAAAUUUCAAAGUUCGCGAUUACUAAUAUCAUUACGAAAUUGAUUGAAUGUAUCAACCUCUUUUCCCCACUUAUUUUAAAAUCCCAAAGGAGACAUAAAGUAAUACUACAUAUUAUUUACAACAAUUAUUACUAUUAUUUGUGAAUAAUAAUUAAGCAGGAAGACGAUG
This is a long non-coding RNA of Nicotiana tabacum (common tobacco), 941 nucleotides long. RefSeq lists it as uncharacterized. The record is from RefSeq and is a predicted model, not a curated record. Lineage: Eukaryota; Viridiplantae; Streptophyta; Magnoliopsida; Solanales; Solanaceae.